GGAGUGUUGUUUCUUUGCGUGUACAAAGGCAACGCGGCCUGUGGCUCUGCCGCCGUUCUGACCGAGACGCAGAACCAGAGGUCGUUUUCGUUCUCGUUUCAUCCUCUUCGAGCUCAGCCUCAGCUGCUGGAAUACUAGAAUAGCGCCGCCUCAACAUCUUCUACCUGCUGCCGUUUCGUUCGCGACUUUGGUUUAGAUGCGUGCAGCUUUUCGUCGCACCGCGCUGGAUCACUGCUCGCUGUUCAUUCGCCAGUGAUUCGUCAGGAGUACUCUACUACCUUUCUUUGUUCGGCACGCGAGGGAGGAAGAAAACCGACUGAACCUUUCCUAUCUCAGUCUCAGCACCCUCUCAAACCAACCGACCCCGUCCCAAUCUCCUGGCGGCGGCGCAGCGGCAUCGGCAACCGGGCGAGGAGACUAGCGGCGGUGAGCGGCCGGUAGCGCCGCGACGAUGAGGUCAACACCCCGGGCGGCCGCCUCCCCACCACCGGGAGAAGGAGAUGAAGGGGAAACAGAUCCCCUUUUCCUCGCCCCUCGCCGGUGCUGGCCACUAUCACGCAUCCCGCCUCCGCAUCGUCACCCACCAUUUCAAAAUCGUGUCAUCGAGCCGGGAAAUCGCCAGUUGGGUCCGGCGUAACCCGUCUACGGUGGUCAUCUGUGAGAAGGACGACAUGCGCCCCUAGAUGUGCCUCGGCCGCAACAUGGAGGCUGACCUGCUGAUGCUUCUCUCCUCCAGUGCCGGGGACGACGGGCUGCCGCUGCACGCCAGUGAGUAGGGAGCCCAAUGCGACGGUGACGGCGAGGAUGGGUGGCUCUGGGUUCACGAGAGCGCCCGACAGGGCUGAUGCGGCGGCAUCUUUGUGUUCCAUGUAAGUGCUAGGAGGCUUGGUUAAUUUCUUGCUUGGUGGUGCUUCGAUCUGACGAUUCACAAGGACCCCGUAAGUGUGGUAUCUUUCUCCUGCCUCUCCUUUGUCCUCCUUAAUUUGUUUGUGCAAUGAAUGUUUUAUCUCGACAGUGAUGAUUUGUUUGUACAAUCCAUGCUUUAGUCUUAAAAAUGAUUAGAUGGAAUGAUUGUGGUUAUUUAUUUUUCCUUCGAGGCAUUAGGUUUUGUAUAAGCUAUGAAUGUAUAAAAAUUCAGAAUCUAUACGAAGAUUGGUACAAAAAUAUUCAGGUGAUAUCAUUCUAUACAUAUGUGCAUCUAUGGUGAUCAUUUGUUCUUCCGUUGUGUUCUUCUCAUUCGGUACUCUUAACUUUAAUUUUUUUGGUUGGUUCUCCAGACAUGAGUGCAGAUCUGCGGAGGUUUAGAAGAGGAAGAAGCUAUGGUAGAAAAUUUAUUAAGAAGCUGCCAAAGGUUUCAUAUCAGCCUCUUGCUUUUCGUAAUAAACCAGAGUAAAUAUCUUUCUUGAAUCAUGUUGUGGUGUAUCCAUUCCCAUCAGUUUGUGUACAUAUACCCAUUGUUAGUCUUUUGUAGUUCACAUGUUCAGUUUUCAUUUUAUAUUGCAGUUGAAAAAACCCAUCUGAUCGUGGAUCAUUUGCUAUAUCAGCAAUCUAGGCGAGCCCAAAAUCAACCCUAUGCAUAGACACAUGAUAUAUUUACUUAAUCUGCCUGUUUAUUUACUAAGAGUUGUUUGAACAUUGUGUGACUAGAUUUGUUGGCUACACAUUCUUUGUUUGGAAACUCUGCAUUUCAUAACCUACCCUUACAACAUGAGCUGUACGAACCUUCACAGUGGGUAUUACUAGAAUUGGCCAUGAAGCAUUCUCUUGACAAGGACAAGAGUUGUUCUUGAGGGACACACGGCUGGCCUAGAAGAUGGACCUUCAUGUAUGCCCCAUCUAAAUCGCAUCUCUAAUUUAUAGUACCACACAACAGCUGUAAGCAAACAACCCUCGUGAGCUAGCCAAUCUUCAGAUGUAUUACCUAUCUAAUGCUUUGUAUAAAAUCUUGAGAUAUUAAAGUGAGUUAACUACUACUUCCUUAAUAACAAUUACAGUUGACUGUUCACAGUUCUGAUUUAUGCUCCAACUUAUGUUGGAAGGCACCCAAAUAUUAGGAGCCAAAAUGGAGCAAUUAUCUUGGACAUACUGGAAAUUCUUGGAGUCCAGCUGUCAUAUUGAAAGGUUGCUAUCCCAUCAAGAUCUGCUUUCUUCUUCUGCCCCUGAUGGUUCUCGGGGUGCUGUUGUUGCACUACUUAAUUUUUCCAUGGAAGCUUAGUAUGAAUUGGGUGUUAAAUUGAGAUUUCCUCUUCGUGGGUUAAUAUCUUUUUCCUGAAGUUCAGUUAUGUACUUGGGCAGAACUGCCACAUAAUACCUACUCUACAGUAGCACAAAAGUGUUGGAGAGUUGGUUCUUGCUAUUCAGUACCAUGUUUUAACACACCACUUUUUCCAUGGAGGCUACUAUGCAUUGGGUGUUGAAUUCCAUGCAGCCAAAGGUCAGUGUUUAAUAUAUUUUCUCUUUGUGUCUUUCAGUCUACAAUUUCUUUAUCUUAUUGUGGAUGAAAGGCAGGUUCGCAAAGUUGAAUUAAAUAUAGUCAUGGUCAUGCUGCUAGAUUGUAGAAUUUUAUUUGAGACUUUUGCGUUUUGUGUUUGGUCCUGUAGUGUUAGAUGUUCAUGAUAUAUACAGUAGAUGGGCCAAAUUAUGUUAAACCUUUAUGAUUACUAGGACUUUCUUUUCUCUCUAUAUUUUUCGACAUGCAUGCGAUGCAUUUCUUGAAGGAUUAUUCGUGUGAUAUUGUGGGUUUGCUCAGCUAUCUUCUCUUCUUUACAUAUUUCGGGCUAAUCCUAUGGUACAAUAGCAUGGAAGUGUUGCAAUGUAAAUAUGUUCAUUUGUUUGUAUUGUGUUUCAAGACGUGAAGCCUUACCUAUAUGGAGGGAUUUUCACAUCACGGUGCAUAUUUCUUAUAGAAUCCGUGGGCAAUAUUUGAAAGAACCCAUAACUAUUUGGAAUGCAUAUUAGAACUUGAUGAGCUCAAGCUACCUACAUAGUACUGCAAUAUUGCUGAUAGCCUCUCACUUUCGUUUAGUUACUGCAGUACUGAGGUUGUACCUAAAGCCGGUCUAUAAUCUGGAUUGCGCCACCUUCUGCUCUAUUAUAUUGCAAUAAACGUUUGUUGCCCUUUUUUCUGUCUAUGAUAUGAUUUUGUAUCUACAGCUUUUAUAUGUAAAGGUUAAAUUGUUUCGGCCUGCUAAAAAUUUCAUUUACACUGUUUUCUCCAGGUCUGUUCAUCAAUCUCAUGGCAUGAGCUCUUUAAUUGCUUCUUCGUAUCUGCCAUUGGAGUAACAUAGGUCAACAUACAUAAAUAGUGUGUUCCGUACAGUUUUAUGUGGAGCCUUCCUGUUGUUGUAUAUAUAAUACAUUCUCUGUGUUUUACUACCUGAGGAUUCUCUUCAUGUUGUUCCUUUGGUUGCUCUACACAAUUAUAUGUUAUUGAUCACAACAGUUAUGGCUUCUAUGUUGGAUUUAUGUGAAUUAUGUGUAGUCUAACUCACUUCAGAUAUAUAAAAGUCCUGUUUGUAUC
Molecule: non-coding RNA, 3520 nt
Organism: Lolium perenne
Lineage: Eukaryota; Viridiplantae; Streptophyta; Magnoliopsida; Poales; Poaceae
Source: RefSeq, a predicted model, not a curated record